UUGAGCAUGCAGGCCAAGGCUUGGACUGCACAAGUUUUUUUUCUUGACCCAAGGGGGAAAGCUCAUGGUGCCAACGUGUGAGCAUGUUUAUCCUCAGAAUAUCCUCAGAAAUGUGGUCAUUGAGGAUGGUUAUGAUAUGAUUGAGGGUUGGCACUCAAUGUAUCUCUAGAGCCUAUGGCUUAUUUA
Molecule: unclassified non-coding RNA, 186 nt
Filed under: uncultured Basidiomycota
Lineage: Eukaryota; Fungi; Basidiomycota
Description: sequence contains ITS1
Source: RNAcentral